GAUGAACGCUGGCGGCGUGCUUAACACAUGCAAGUCGAACGGAAAGGCCCUGCUUUUGUGGGGUGCUCGAGUGCCGAACGCGUGAGUAACACGUGAGUAUCCUGCCCUUGACUUUGGGGUAACUUCAGGAAACUGGGGCUAAUACCGGAUAGGAGCUCCUGCUGCAUGGUGGGGGUUGGAAAGUUUCGGCGGUUGGGGAUGGACUCGCGGCUUAUGAGCUUGUUGGUGGGGUAGUGGCUUACCAAGUGUUUGACGGGUAGCCGGCCUGGGAGGGUGACCGGCGACAAUGGUCCUGAGGGACGGCGCAGUCGGCAACGGGAGGCAGCGGUGGGGAGCAUUGCACAGUGGGCGCAAGCCUGAUGCAGCAGCGCUGGGUGCGUAAUGCCGUCCUUCGGGGUGUAAACCGCUUUCGCCUGAGACGAAGCGUGAGUGACGGUAAUGAGUAAAGAAGCACCGGCUAACUACGUG
Molecule: ribosomal RNA, 468 nt
Filed under: uncultured bacterium
Lineage: Bacteria
Description: partial 16S ribosomal RNA
Rfam family: Bacterial small subunit ribosomal RNA
Source: RNAcentral